AUUGAACGCUGGCGGAAUGCUUUACACAUGCAAGUCGAACGGCAGCAUAGGUGCUUGCACCUGAUGGCGAGUGGCGAACGGGUGAGUAAUACAUCGGAACGUGCCCAGUCGUGGGGGAUAACGUAGCGAAAGUUACGCUAAUACCGCAUACGAUCUAAGGAUGAAAGCGGGGGACCGUAAGGCCUCGCGCGAUUUGAGCGGCCGAUGUCAGAUUAGGUAGUUGGUGAGGUAAAGGCUCACCAAGCCGACGAUAUGUAGCUGGUCUGAGAGGACGACCAGCCACACUGGGACUGAGACACGGCCCAGACUCCUACGGGAGGCAGCAGUGGGGAAUUUUGGACAAUGGACGCAAGUCUGAUCCAGCCAUUCCGCGUGCAGGACGAAGGCCUUCGGGUUGUAAACUGCUUUUGUACGGAACGAAAAAGCUCUUACUAAUACUAGGAGUCCAUGACGGUACCGUAAGAAUAAGCACCGGCUAACUACGUGCCAGCCGCCGCAGUAA
This 502-nucleotide ribosomal RNA is filed under the name uncultured bacterium. RNAcentral's name for it is "partial 16S ribosomal RNA". It matches the Rfam family "Bacterial small subunit ribosomal RNA", at positions 30 to 523 of the family's 1533-position model. The record is from RNAcentral.